Molecule: ribosomal RNA, 490 nt
Filed under: uncultured bacterium
Lineage: Bacteria
Description: partial 16S ribosomal RNA
Rfam family: Bacterial small subunit ribosomal RNA
Source: RNAcentral
AUUGAACGCUGGCGGCAUGCUUUACACAUGCAAGUCGGACGGCAGCACAGAGAAGCUUGCUUCUUGGGUGGCGAGUGGCGAACGGGUGAGUAAUAUAUCGGAACGUACCGAGUAAUGGGGGAUAACUAAUCGAAAGAUUAGCUAAUACCGCAUAUUCUCUGAGGAGGAAAGCAGGGGACCUUCGGGCCUUGCGUUAUUCGAGCGGCCGAUAUCUGAUUAGCUAGUUGGUGGGGUAAAGGCCUACCAAGGCGACGAUCAGUAGCGGGUCUGAGAGGAUGAUCCGCCACACUGGGACUGAGACACGGCCCAGACUCCUACGGGAGGCAGCAGUGGGGAAUUUUGGACAAUGGGCGCAUGCCUGAUCCAGCCAUGCCGCGUGUCUGAAGAAGGCCUUCGGGUUGUAAAGGACUUUUGUCAGGGAAGAAAAGGCUGUUGCUAAUAUCGACAGCUGAUGACGGUACCUGAAGAAUAAGCACCGGCUAACUACGUG